Molecule: ribosomal RNA, 677 nt
Filed under: uncultured crenarchaeote
Lineage: Archaea; Thermoproteati; Thermoproteota
Description: bacterial SSU rRNA
Rfam family: Archaeal small subunit ribosomal RNA
Source: RNAcentral
CCCUACGGGGUGCAGCAGUUACGAAAACUCACCAAUGCGCGAAAGCGUGAGUGGGCUAUCCCGAGUGCCGUCCGCUGAGGAUGGCUUUUCUCCAGUGUAAGGAGCUGGAGGAAUAAGGAGAGGGCAAGUCUGGUGUCAGCCGCCGCGGUAAUACCAGCUCUCCGAGUGGUAAGGACGUUUAUUGGGCUUAAAGCGUCCGUAGCCGGCUCAGCAAGUCCUCCGUUAAAUCCAGCGAUUCAAUCGUUGGACUGCGGGAGAUACUGUUGGGCUAGGGGACGGGAGAGGCCAACGGUAUUCUCGGAGUAGGGGUGAAAUCCUAUAAUUCCGGGAGGACCACCAGUGGCGAAGGCUGUUGGCUAGAACGAGCUCGACGGUGAGGGACGAAAGCUGGGGGAGCGAACCGGAUUAGAUACCCGGGUAGUCCCAGCUGUAAACGAUGCGGGCUAGGUGUUAGGGUGGCCACGAGCCACUCUAGUGCCGCAGCGAAGGCAUUAAGCCCGCCGCCUGGGGAGUACGGCCGCAAGGCUGAAACUUAAAGGAAUUGGCGGGGGAGCACCACAAGGCGUGAAGCGUGCGGUUUAAUUGGAGUCAACACCGGAAACCUUACCGGGGGCGACAGCAGUUGAAAGCCAGAUUGACGAUCUUGCCAGACAAGCUGAGAGGUAGUGCAUGGCCAA